AGAGUUUGAUCAUGGCUCAGGAUGAACGCUGGCGGCGUGUCUAAGGCAUGCAAGUCGAGCGCACUUCGGGUGCACGGCAGACGGGAGCGUAACACAUUGGUAACCUACCCUGAAGAGGGGGAUAACCUUUCGAAAGAAAGAAUAAUACCCCAUGUGCUGCGAAGUUUAAUACUUCGUAGUAAAACUUUUGUGCUUCAGGAGGGGCCUAUGUUCUAUCAGCUUGUUGGUGAGGUAAAAGCUCACCAAGGCUAUGACGGAUACCGGGUGUGAGAGCAUGACCCGGCUCAAUGGGACUGCGACACUGCCCAUACUCCUACGGGAGGCUGCAGUCAAGAAUAUUCCACAAUGCCCUAACGGGUGAUGGAGCGACGCCGCGUGCAGGAAGACGCCCUUAGGGGUGUAAACUGCUUUUAUUUAGGAAGAACAAAUGACGGUACUAAAUGAAUAAGGGGCUGCUAACUUCGUGCCAGCAGCAGCGGUAAUACGAAGGCCCCAAGCGUUAUCCGGAAUUAUUGGGCGUAAAGCGUCCGCAGGGGGUUCGGUAAGUAUGUUGUUAAAACUCAGAGCUCAACUCUGAGACUGCAAUGUAAACUGCCAGACUAGAGGAUGGGAGAGGCAUCUGGAAUUGUCGGUGUAGUAGUAAAAUGCGUUAAUAUCGACAGGAACACCAAAAGCGUAGGCAUGAUGCUGGAACACUCCUGACCCUCAGGGACGAAAGCGUGGGUAGCGAAUCGGAUUAGAUA
RNAcentral lists this ribosomal RNA (743 nucleotides) under uncultured bacterium. Its description in RNAcentral is "bacterial SSU rRNA". It matches the Rfam family "Bacterial small subunit ribosomal RNA", at positions 8 to 784 of the family's 1533-position model. The record is from RNAcentral.